Paramuricea clavata is the source of this 829-nucleotide non-coding RNA. NCBI's taxonomy places the organism in Eukaryota, Metazoa, Cnidaria, Anthozoa, Malacalcyonacea, Plexauridae. The record is from the annotation of a GenBank genome assembly.
GACCCAUAGCCUAUACUCAAUACUUACUACCUAUAUGUGUCCACGAAAUAAAACAAUCGUUGAAGAGCCUUGAAUGACAGAAAAAUAUCGAGCAGCAUUAGGAGGUUUAAAAACUGAUUAUUGGGCUCAAUGAAAAUCCACCCCAUCAAAUGGUCCACCCCUAAUACAUAAUAUUUCUAAAAUCCAUAUAUAGAAUAGUCGUCGCAUGCAAAUCGGCCAUUUCUACGUGUGAACCUCGUAGGUUUAUAAUUAAAACGGAGAUUAUUUUCAUUAUAAAACAACAAGUCAGCACUAUUUAAACUACGAAAAUGUCAGCAAGUUAAUGUCAUCAUCAUUUAAUUCUGCCAAGCAGAAGCUCCAAAACUAAGGCGCUUUUUUACAAUAUUUCCAAACGUUUAAGUUUCCCGAGAAAGACAGCGUAUAGCCAUCAUACAUAAGUAUUAAAUUAAAUUCCAUUGCUAAAAAUUCGAACGGGUGAAAACAUAUUCCUUUCACAAAUCUAAGGCUGGUAGCCUGGUAUACUUUAAUUUAGUGUAUUAUAAUUAGUUGCGGUAGUAAUCAUGUGUUUAUAAAAUGCUCCGUCGUCCGUCGUCCGCCGUCCGCCCGCCUUUUAUCUACAGCCUCACAUAUCAUAGCCCCAGGUGGUCUUCCUGCUUAGACGCUCAUCUCUAACUUUACUUUUAUAUUUUCACUUUUAUAUUUUCACUUUUAUAUUUUCACUUUUAUAUUUUUACUUUUAUAUUUUUACUUUUAUAUUUUCACUUGUAUAUUUUCACUUUUAUAUUUUCACUUUUAUAUUUUCAUUUUUAUAUUUUCACUGUUUAACUUU